Molecule: ribosomal RNA, 468 nt
Filed under: uncultured bacterium
Lineage: Bacteria
Description: bacterial SSU rRNA
Rfam family: Bacterial small subunit ribosomal RNA
Source: RNAcentral
AGUGAACGCUGGCGGCGUGCCUAACACAUGCAAGUCGAACGGAACUUUUCUGAGAUUACAUCAAGGGAAAGUUUAGUGGCAGACGGGUGAGUAUCACAUAGGUCAUUUACCUUCGAGAGGGAAAUAACUCCGAGAAAUCGGAGCUAAUGUCCCAUAGGACCACGGCCUUUCCUACGAAAGGCAGGGGCCAAAGCUCCGCAAGGGGCACUUGAAGAUGAGCCUGUGUCCUANCAGCUAGUUGGUGAGGUAACGGCCACCAAGGCUAAGACGGUAUCCGACCUGAAAGGUGACCGGACACACUGGAACUGAGACACGGUCCAGACUCCUACGGGAGGCAGCAGUGGGGAAUUUUUCUCAAUGGGCGCAAGCCUGAAGGAGCGACGCCGCGUGGGGGAUGAAGGGUUUCGAUCCGUAAACCCCUGUCAUUUGUGAACAAUGGUUAGUGUUUAAGAGAUGCUGACUUGAUAG